CUAACACAUGCAAGUCGAGCGGGGACUUCGGUCCUAGCGGCGGACGGGUGAGUAACGCGUAGGAAUCUACCUGGUAAUGGGGGAUAACGUUCCGAAAGGAACGCUAAUACCGCAUACGACCUAAGGGUGAAAGUGGGGGAUCUUCGGACCUCACGUUAUCAGAUGAGCCUGCGUAGGAUUAGCUAGUUGGUAGGGUAAAGGCCUACCAAGGCGACGAUCCUUAACUGGUCUGAGAGGAUGAUCAGUCACACUGGAACUGAGACACGGUCCAGACUCCUACGGGAGGCAGCAGUGGGGAAUAUUGGACAAUGGGGGCAACCCUGAUCCAGCCAUGCCGCGUGUGUGAAGAAGGCCUUCGGGUUGUAAAGCACUUUCGGUCAGAAAGAAGGUUGUUAAGUUAAUACCUUGGCAAUUUGACGGUACUGACAUAAGAAGCACCGGCUAACUCCGUGCCAGCAGCCGCGGUAAUACGGAGGGUGCAAGCGUUAAUCGGAAUUACUGGGCGUAAAGCGCGCGUAGGCGGUUUGUUAAGUCGGAUGUGAAAUCCCCGGGCUCAACCUGGGAACUGCAUACGAUACUGGCGAGCUAGAGUGCAAUAGAGGGGGGUAGAAUUCCAGGUGUAGCGGUGAAAUGCGUAGAUAUCUGGAGGAAUACCGGUGGCGAAGGCGGCCCCCUGGAUUGACACUGACGCUGAGGUGCGAAAGCGUGGGUAGCAAACAGGAUUAGAUACCCUGGUAGUCCACGCCGUAAACGAUGUCAACUAGCCGUUGGGAGCCUUGAGCUCUUAGUGGCGCAGCUAA
Molecule: ribosomal RNA, 800 nt
Filed under: uncultured bacterium
Lineage: Bacteria
Description: bacterial SSU rRNA
Rfam family: Bacterial small subunit ribosomal RNA
Source: RNAcentral